Molecule: ribosomal RNA, 384 nt
Filed under: uncultured bacterium
Lineage: Bacteria
Description: bacterial SSU rRNA
Rfam family: Bacterial small subunit ribosomal RNA
Source: RNAcentral
AUUAAACGCUGGCGGCAUGCCUUACACAUGCAAGUCGAACGGCAGCACUGGGGCAACCCUGGUGGCGAGUGGCGAACGGGUGAGUAAAGCAUCGGAACGUGCCCUGGAGUGGGGGAUAACGUAGCGAAAGUUACGCUAAUACCGCAUAUUCUGUGAGCAGGAAAGCAGGGGAUCGCAAGACCUUGCGCUCUGGGAGCGGCCGAUGUCGGAUUAGCUAGUUGGUGGGGUAAAGGCCUACCAAGGCGACGAUCCGUAGCGGGUCUGAGAGGAUGAUCCGCCACACUGGGACUGAGACACGGCCCAGACUCCUACGGGAGGCAGCAGUGGGGAAUUUUGGACAAUGGGCGAAAGCCUGAUCCAGCCAUGCCGCGUGAGUGAAGAAGG